Molecule: ribosomal RNA, 685 nt
Filed under: fungal sp.
Lineage: Eukaryota; Fungi
Description: SSU rRNA
Rfam family: Eukaryotic small subunit ribosomal RNA
Source: RNAcentral
ACAUCCAAGGAAGGCAGCAGGCGCGCAAAUUACCCAAUCCCGACACGGGGAGGUAGUGACAAUAAAUACUGAUACAGGGCUCUUUUGGGUCUUGUAAUUGGAAUGAGUACAAUUUAAAUCCCUUAACGAGGAACAAUUGGAGGGCAAGUCUGGUGCCAGCAGCCGCGGUAAUUCCAGCUCCAAUAGCGUAUAUUAAAGUUGUUGCAGUUAAAAAGCUCGUAGUUGAACCUUGGGCCUGGCUGGCCGGUCCGCCUCACCGCGUGUACUGGUCCGGCCGGGCCUUUCCUUCUGGGGAACCUCAUGCCCUUCACUGGGCGUGUUGGGGAACCAGGACUUUUACUUUGAAAAAAUUAGAGUGUUCAAAGCAGGCCUUUGCUCGAAUACAUUAGCAUGGAAUAAUAGAAUAGGACGUGUGGUUCUAUUUUGUUGGUUUCUAGGACGCCGUAAUGAUUAAUAGGGAUAGUCGGGGGCAUCAGUAUUCAAUCGUCAGAGGUGAAAUUCUUGGAUUGAUUGAAGACUAACUACUGCGAAAGCAUUUGCCAAGGAUGUUUUCAUUAAUCAGUGAACGAAAGUUAGGGGAUCGAAGACGAUCAGAUACCGUCGUAGUCUUAACCAUAAACUAUGCCGACUAGGGAUCGGACGGUGUUAGUAUUUUGACCCGUUCGGCACCUUACGAGAAAUCAAA